GACUCAGCCCGCCUGCACCCAGGUGAAAUAAACAGCCACGUUGCUCACACAAAGCCUGUUUGGUGGUCUCUUCACACGGAUGCACAUGAAAUUUGGUUCCAUGACUCGGAUCGGGGGACCUCCCUUGGGAGAUCAAUCCCCUGUCCUCCUGCUCUUUGCUCCGUGAGAAACAUCCACCUACGACCUCAGGUCCUCAGACUGACCAGCCCAAGAAACAUCUCACCAAUUUCAAAUCCAGUAAGCGGCCUCUUUUUACUCUUCUCCAACCUCCCUCACUAUCCCUCAACCUCUUUCUCCUUUCAAUCUUGGUGCCACACUUCAAUCUCUCCCUUCUCUUCAUUUCAAUUCCUUUCAUUUUCUGAUAGAGACAAAAGAGACAUGUUUUAUCCGUGAACCCAAAACUCCGGCGCCGGUCACGGACUGGGAAGGCAGCCUUCCCUUGGUGUUUAAUCAUUGCAGGGACGCCUCUCUGAUUAUACACUCACGUUUCAAGGGUGUCAGACCACGCAGGGAUGCCUGCCUUAGUCCUUCACCCUUAGUGGCAAGUCCCGCUUUCCUGGGGCAGGGGCAAGUACCCCUCAACCCCUUCUCCCUCACCCUUAGUGGCAAGUCCCGCUUUCCUGGGGCAGGGGCAAGUACCCCUCAACCCCUUCUCCUUCACCCUUAGUGGCAAGUCCCACUUUCCUAGGGGGCAAGAACCCCCCAAUCGCUUAUUUCCACACCCCAACCUCUUAUCUCUGUGCUCCAAUCCCUUAUUUCCACACCCUGACCUCUUAUCUCUGUGCCCCAAUCCCUUAUUUCCGUGCCCCAACCCCUUCUCUGCUUUUCUGGAGGGCAAGAACCCCCCACCCUUUCUCUGUGUCUCUACUCUUUUCUCUGGGCUUGCCUCCUUCACUAUGGGUAAGGUUCCACCUUCCAUUCCUCCUUCUUCUCCCUUAGCCUCUGUUCUCAAAAACUUAAAACCUCUUCAACUCACACCUGACCUAAAACCUAAAUGUCUUAUUUUCUUCUGCAAUGCCGCUUGACCCCAAUACAAACUCGACAGUAGUUCCAAAUAGCCAGAAAAUGGCACUUUGAAUUUUUCCAUCCUGCAAGAUCUAAAUAAUUCUUGUCGUAAAAUAGGCAAAGGGCCUGAGGUGCCUGACGUCCAGGCAUUCUUUUACACAUCAGUCCUGUCCUAGUCUCUGUGCCCAGUGCAACUCGUCCCAAAUCUUCCUUCUUUCCCUCCCGCCUGUCCCCUCAGUACCAACCCCAAGCGUCGCUGAGUCUUUCUAAUCUUCCCUUUCUACAGACCCAUCUGACCUCUCCCUUCCUCCCCAGCCUGCUCCUCACCAGGCCGAGCUAGGUCCCAAUUCUUCCUCAGCCUCCACUCCUCCACCCUAUAAUCUUUUUAUCACCUCCCCUCCUCACACCUGGUCCUGCUUACAGUUUCGUUCCGUGACUAGCCCUCCCCCACCUGCCCAGCAAUUUACUCUUAAAAAGGUGGCGGGAGCCAAAGGCAUAGUCAAGGUUAAUGCUCCUUUUUCUUUAUCCCAAAUCAGAUAGUGUUUAGGCUCUUUUUCAUCAAAUAUAAAAAUCCAGCCCAGUUCAUGACUUGUUUGGCAGCAACCCUGAGACACUUUACAGCCCUAGACCCUAAAAAGUCAAAAGGCCGUCUCAUCCUCAAAAUACAUUUUAUUACCCAAUCUGCUCCCGACAUUAAAUAAAACUCCAAAAAUUAAAUUCCGGCCCUCAAGCCCCACAACAGGAUUUAAUUAACCUCGCCUUCAAGGUGUACAAUAAUAGAAAAAAGUUGCAAUUCCUUGCCUCCACUGUGAGACAAACCCCAGCCACAUCUCCAGCACACAAGAACUUCCAAACACCUGAACCGCAGCGGCCAGGCGUUCCUCCACAACCUCCUCCCACAGGAGCUUGCUACACGUGCCAGAAAUCUGGCCACUGGGCCAAGGAAUGCCUGCAGCCCAGGAUUCCUCCUAAGCCGCGUCCCAUCUGUGCGUGACCCCACUGAAAAUCGGACUGUUCAACUCACCUGGCAGCCACUCCCAGAGGCCCUGGAACUCUGGCCCAAGGCUCUCUGACUGACUCCUUCCCAGAUCUUCUCGGCUUAGCGGCUGAAGACUGACACUGCCCGAUAGCCUCGGAAGCCCCCAGACCAUCACGGACGCUGAGCUUUGGGUAACUCUCACAGUGGAAGGUUCCCACGCCGACCCUAAUCCCGCUUGAAGCAGCCCUGAGAAACAUCGCCCAUUCUCUCUCCAUAUCACCCCCCAAAAAUUUUUGCCGCCCCAACAUUUCAACACUAUUUUGUUUUAUUUUUCUUAUUAAUAUAAGAAGGCAGGAAUGUCAGGCCUCUGAGCCCAAGCCAAGCCAUCGCACCCCCUGUGACUUGCACGUAUAGGCCCAGAUGGCCUGAAGUAACUGAAGAAUCACAAAAGUGAAUAUGCCCUGCCCCACCUUAACUGAUGACAUUCCACCACAAAAGAAGUGUAAAUGGCCGGUCCUUGCCUUAACUGAUGACAUUACCUUGUGAAAGUCCUUUUCCUGGCUCAUCCUGGCUCAAAAAGCACCCCCACUGAGCACCUUGCGACCCCCACUCCUACCCACCAGAGAACAAACCCCCUUUGACUGUAAUUUUCCUUUACCUACCCAAAUCCUAUAAAACGGCCCCACCCUUAUCUCCCUUUGCUGACUCUCUUUUUGGACUCAGCCCGCCUGACCCCAGGUGAAAUAAACAGCCAUGUUGCUCACACAAA
Gorilla gorilla gorilla (western lowland gorilla) is the source of this 2753-nucleotide long non-coding RNA. RefSeq lists it as uncharacterized. NCBI's taxonomy places the organism in Eukaryota, Metazoa, Chordata, Mammalia, Primates, Hominidae. The record is from RefSeq and is a predicted model, not a curated record. The transcript has 2 exons.